CCUACGGGAGGCAGCAGUGAGGAAUAUUGGUCAAUGGUCGGGAGACUGAACCAGCCAAGCCGCGUGAGGGAUGAAGGUACAGAGUAUCGUAAACCUCUUUUGUCAGGGAACAAAGGCGGGGACGUGUCCCCGGAUGAGUGUACCUGAAGAAAAAGCAUCGGCUAACUCCGUGCCAGCAGCCGCGGUAAUACGGAGGAUGCGAGCGUUAUCCGGAUUUAUUGGGUUUAAAGGGUGCGCAGGCGGUCUGUUAAGUCAGCGGUCAAAGUCCGGGGCUCAACCCCGGCACGGCGUUGGAAACUGGCAGUCUCGAGUUGGAGAGAGGUAGGCGGAAUGCGCGGUGUAGCGGUGAAAUGCAUAGAUAUCGCGAAGAACUCCGAUUGCGAAGGCAGCAUGCCGGCUCCACACUGACGCUGAGGCACGAAAGCGUGGGUAUCGAACAGGAUUAGAUACCCGAGUAGUC
Molecule: ribosomal RNA, 460 nt
Filed under: uncultured bacterium
Lineage: Bacteria
Description: partial 16S ribosomal RNA
Rfam family: Bacterial small subunit ribosomal RNA
Source: RNAcentral